GUAAGGAAUAUUGGUCAAUGGAGGCAACUCUGAACCAGCCAUGCCGCGUGCAGGAAGACGGCCCUACGGGUUGUAAACUGCUUUUGUACCGGAAUAAACCUUGAUACGUGUAUCGAGCUGAAUGUACGGUAAGAAUAAGGAUCGGCUAACUCCGUGCCAGCAGCCGCGGUAAUACGGAGGAUCCAAGCGUUAUCCGGAUUUAUUGGGUUUAAAGGGUGCGUAGGCGGCUUGUUAAGUCAGGGGUGAAAGGCGGUAGCUUAACUAUCGGAGUGCCCUUGAUACUGAUGAGCUUGAAUGCAGCUGAGGUAGGCGGAAUGUGACAAGUAGCGGUGAAAUGCAUAGAUAUGUCACAGAACACCGAUUGCGAAGGCAGCUUACUAAAGUGCGAUUGACGCUGAGGCACGAAAGCGUGGGGAUCAAACAGGAUUAGAAACCCUGGUAGUCC
Molecule: ribosomal RNA, 445 nt
Filed under: uncultured bacterium
Lineage: Bacteria
Description: bacterial SSU rRNA
Rfam family: Bacterial small subunit ribosomal RNA
Source: RNAcentral